RNAcentral lists this ribosomal RNA (237 nucleotides) under uncultured Staphylococcus sp. Its description in RNAcentral is "partial 16S ribosomal RNA". It matches the Rfam family "Bacterial small subunit ribosomal RNA", at positions 103 to 334 of the family's 1533-position model. The record is from RNAcentral. Lineage: Bacteria; Bacillati; Bacillota; Bacilli; Caryophanales; Staphylococcaceae.
CGGGUGAGUAACGCGUAGGUAACCUACCUAUAAGACUGGGAUAACUUCUGGAAACCGGAGCUAAUACCGGAUAAUAUAUUGAACCGCAUGGUUCAAUAGUGAAAGACGGUUUUGCUGUCACUUAUAGAUGGAUCCGCGCCGCAUUAGCUAGUUGGUAAGGUAACGGCUUACCAAGGCAACGAUGCGUAGCCGACCUGAGAGGGUGAUCGGCCACACUGGAACUGAGACACGGUCCAG